This 482-nucleotide ribosomal RNA is filed under the name uncultured bacterium. RNAcentral describes it as "bacterial SSU rRNA". It matches the Rfam family "Bacterial small subunit ribosomal RNA", at positions 8 to 518 of the family's 1533-position model. The record is from RNAcentral.
AGAGUUGAUCAUGGCUCAGGAUGAACGCUGGCGGCGUGCCUAACACAUGCAAGUCGAGCGAUCUUCUCGGAAGAGAGCGGCGGACGGGUGAGUAACGCGUGGGUAACCUGCCCUGUACACACGGAUAACAUACCGAAAGGUAUGCUAAUACGGGAUAACAUACUUUUAUCGCAUGGUAGAAGUAUCAAAGCUCCGGCGGUACAGGAUGGACCCGCGUCUGAUUAGCUAGUUGGUAAGGUAACGGCUUACCAAGGCGACGAUCAGUAGCCGACCUGAGAGGGUGAUCGGCCACAUUGGAACUGAGACACGGUCCAAACUCCUACGGGAGGCAGCAGUGGGGAAUAUUGCACAAUGGGCGAAAGCCUGAUGCAAGCAACGCCGCGUGAGCGAUGAAGGCCUUCGGGUCGUAAAGCUCUGUCCUCAAGGAAGAUAAUGACGGUACUUGAGGAGGAAGCCCCGGCUAACUACGUGCCAGCAGCCGC